CAGUUUUGUUCUUGUGGCAGUUAAACAUCGUUGGGGCUGAAUAUGAAAGACCUUGCCUGGAAUAUUUUCGAAAGAUUAUGGCAGGACGAGGAUGCUUCGACAUACUUUCCUCAGCAUGUUGGCUUAAAAUUCUGAACGAAACAGAAUUCACUUUGCAUAUUAUGGAUUACUACGGUUACUUUAUGGCUGUAACUGCACAGUGCUUACGCCUCCUAAAUCGGAUCACACCACAAGCUUCAACAUCAAUGAAAAUGACAAUUAACAUACAAGACGAAGAUCUACUCGCUUAUAUUUCCAUAACCAGCGACAGAAGCAGCCGGACCAUUCAAGUCGUCAUGUUUUGCGUGCCCAAUACGGCCAUGUUAGAAUCCAAGUCCACCUGGCAAGCUUUUGACGUGGAAUUACCAAUCAACAGUUAACGAAGAUGAUUCCAGGAUCUGCUCGUGUAUUAACUGAGCUUUUUUAAACGAUAAAAAAUGGAUGUGGAUAACUUGCACAUUAUUAUCAUACAGCUCAGCCCUGCAAAAGGGUGUAUAUUUAUGCUAGGAAGGAUCCAGGACGCAUUUUCCGCGUUAUAUUUCGAAGGGUUGCACAAUCAAACGAUGACUGACAUGUUCCAAACUGACGUGUCACCUAAAAUUAUACAUCGUCAGCUCAUCUUCUCACAAAAGCGACCGGCUUAGAAGUAUUGUGUAGCGGAAACAGCAGUGUGGGCGCAUAUUAUGCAUUUAAAUUUCGUAUGUUGGCGUUGUUUCGUGUCUACGUAUGUUGGCGACCGUGACCUUUAAUGGGCUUGAAUUU
This is a long non-coding RNA of Daphnia carinata, 801 nucleotides long. RefSeq lists it as uncharacterized. The record is from RefSeq and is a predicted model, not a curated record. The transcript is spliced from 3 exons. NCBI's taxonomy places the organism in Eukaryota, Metazoa, Arthropoda, Branchiopoda, Diplostraca, Daphniidae.